Molecule: ribosomal RNA, 581 nt
Filed under: Escherichia coli
Lineage: Bacteria; Pseudomonadati; Pseudomonadota; Gammaproteobacteria; Enterobacterales; Enterobacteriaceae
Description: partial 23S ribosomal RNA
Rfam family: Bacterial large subunit ribosomal RNA
Source: RNAcentral
GUGCAAUGGCAUAAGCCAGCUUGACUGCGAGCGUGACGGCGCGAGCAGGUGCGAAAGCAGGUCAUAGUGAUCCGGUGGUUCUGAAUGGAAGGGCCAUCGCUCAACGGAUAAAAGGUACUCCGGGGAUAACAGGCUGAUACCGCCCAAGAGUUCAUAUCGACGGCGGUGUUUGGCACCUCGAUGUCGGCUCAUCACAUCCUGGGGCUGAAGUAGGUCCCAAGGGUAUGGCUGUUCGCCAUUUAAAGUGGUACGCGAGCUGGGUUUAGAACGUCGUGAGACAGUUCGGUCCCUAUCUGCCGUGGGCGCUGGAGAACUGAGGGGGGCUGCUCCUAGUACGAGAGGACCGGAGUGGACGCAUCACUGGUGUUCGGGUUGUCAUGCCAAUGGCACUGCCCGGUAGCUAAAUGCGGAAGAGAUAAGUGCUGAAAGCAUCUAAGCACGAAACUUGCCCCGAGAUGAGUUCUCCCUGAGACUUAGAGUCUCCUGAAGGAACGUUGAAGACGACGACGUUGAUAGGCCGGGUGUGUAAGCGCAGCGAUGCGUUGAGCUAACCGGUACUAAUGAACCGUGAGGCUUAACCU